Molecule: ribosomal RNA, 662 nt
Filed under: uncultured Dolichospermum sp.
Lineage: Bacteria; Bacillati; Cyanobacteriota; Cyanophyceae; Nostocales; Aphanizomenonaceae
Description: bacterial SSU rRNA
Rfam family: Bacterial small subunit ribosomal RNA
Source: RNAcentral
CGGACGGGUGAGUAACGCGUGAGAAUCUACCUUCAGGUUCGGGACAACCACUGGAAACGGUGGCUAAUACCGAAUGUGCCGAGAGGUGAAAGGCUUGCUGCCUGAAGAAGAGCUUGCGUCUGAUUAGCUAGUUGGUGUGGUAAAGGCGCACCAAGGCGACGAUCAGUAGCUGGUCUGAGAGGAUGAUCAGCCACACUGGGACUGAGACACGGCCCAGACUCCUACGGGAGGCAGCAGUGGGGAAUUUUCCGCAAUGGGCGAAAGCCUGACGGAGCAAUACCGCGUGAGGGAGGAAGGCUCUUGGGUUGUAAACCUCUUUUCUCAGGGAAGAAAAAAAUGACGGUACCUGAGGAAUAUGCAUCGGCUAACUCCGUGCCAGCAGCCGCGGUAAUACGGAGGAUGCAAGCGUUAUCCGGAAUGAUUGGGCGUAAAGGGUCCGCAGGUGGCAUUGUUUGUCUGCUGUUAAAGAGUUUGGCUCAACCAAAUAAGAGCAGUGGAAACUACAAAGCUAGAGUAUGGUCGGGGCAGAGGGAAUUCCUGGUGUAGCGGUGAAAUGCGUAGAUUUCAGGAAGAACCCCGGUGGCGAAGGCGCUCUGCUAGGCCAAAACUGACACUGAGGGACGAAAGCUAGGUGAGCGAUUGGGAUUAGAUACCCCAGUUGU